RNAcentral lists this ribosomal RNA (253 nucleotides) under uncultured bacterium. RNAcentral describes it as "partial 16S ribosomal RNA". It matches the Rfam family "Bacterial small subunit ribosomal RNA", at positions 524 to 776 of the family's 1533-position model. The record is from RNAcentral.
UACGUAGGGUGCAAGCGUUGUCCGGAAUUAUUGGGCGUAAAGAGCUUGUAGGCGGUUUGUCGCGUCUGCUGUGAAAUUUCGGGGCUCAACCCCGAACUUGCAGUGGGUACGGGCAGACUAGAGUGUGGUAGGGGAGACUGGAAUUCCUGGUGUAGCGGUGAAAUGCGCAGAUAUCAGGAGGAACACAGAUGGCGAAGGCAGGUCUCUGGGCCAUAACUGACGCUGAGAAGCGAAAGCAUGGGGAGCGAACAGG